RNAcentral lists this ribosomal RNA (497 nucleotides) under uncultured bacterium. Its description in RNAcentral is "partial 16S ribosomal RNA". It matches the Rfam family "Bacterial small subunit ribosomal RNA", at positions 28 to 507 of the family's 1533-position model. The record is from RNAcentral.
GAUGAACGCUGGCGGCGUGCCUAAUACAUGCAAGUCGAGCGAACAGAUGAGGAGCUUGCUCCUCUGACGUUAGCGGCGGACGGGUGAGUAACACGUGGAUAACCUACCUAUAAGACUGGGAUAAGUUCGGGAAACCGGAGCUAAUACCGGAUAAUAUAUUGAACCGCAUGGUUCAAUAGUGAAAGACGGUUUUGCUGUCACUUAUAGAUGGAUCCGCGCCGCAUUAGCUAGUUGGUAAGGUAACGGCUUACCAAGGCAACGAUGCGUAGCCGACCUGAGAGGGUGAUCGGCCACACUGGAACUGAGACACGGUCCAGACUCCUACGGGAGGCAGCAGUAGGGAAUCUUCCGCAAUGGGCGAAAGCCUGACGGAGCAACGCCGCGUGAGUGAUGAAGGUCUUCGGAUCGUAAAACUCUGUUAUUAGGGAAGAACAAAUGUGUAAGUAACUAUGCACGUCUUGACGGUACCUAAUCAGAAAGCCACGGCUAACUACGUG